RNAcentral lists this small RNA (279 nucleotides) under Sinorhizobium meliloti 2011. Its description in RNAcentral is "putative ncRNA". The record is from RNAcentral. Lineage: Bacteria; Pseudomonadati; Pseudomonadota; Alphaproteobacteria; Hyphomicrobiales; Rhizobiaceae.
AUGACGUCGAUUCUUAGAUCUUUUUGCCUGCGCCUUGUUUUUUCAGGGUAUUUUUGGCGUUGAAGCGCAGCCGCACGAUGUCAAUCACGAUGGCUUUCUCGACGGAAGCGAUAGUCGCCCUUAGAUGCGCGUAGUGCUUUGCCAAUCGCUUUGUUGAUUUCAUCGAGAUUGCAAGCUUCUCGGUGGAACUUGCGACCUACCCACCGGCGCAUGGCCUUAUGUUCCUCAUGAUCAGGAUCGAGCCACGCGUCGAGGAAGUCAGCAUAGCCUGAAGUGCCA